Non-coding RNA from Araneus ventricosus, 77 nucleotides. NCBI's taxonomy places the organism in Eukaryota, Metazoa, Arthropoda, Arachnida, Araneae, Araneidae. The record is from the annotation of a GenBank genome assembly.
GCCGCCAUAGCUCAGUGGUUAGAGCACUGGUCUUGUAAAACCAGGGGUCGUGGGAGAGUCCAAUCUCAUUGGUGGCU